RNAcentral lists this transfer RNA (69 nucleotides) under Lepidotrigona flavibasis. RNAcentral's name for it is "tRNA-Leu". Lineage: Eukaryota; Metazoa; Arthropoda; Insecta; Hymenoptera; Apidae. The record is from RNAcentral.
GUUAUCUUAGCAGAUCAGUGCAAUAAAUUUAGAAUUUAAAUUAGAUUAUACAUGUUAUAAUAGAUAAUA